RNAcentral lists this ribosomal RNA (366 nucleotides) under uncultured Barnesiella sp. RNAcentral's name for it is "bacterial SSU rRNA". It matches the Rfam family "Bacterial small subunit ribosomal RNA", at positions 354 to 715 of the family's 1533-position model. Lineage: Bacteria; Pseudomonadati; Bacteroidota; Bacteroidia; Bacteroidales; Barnesiellaceae. The record is from RNAcentral.
CGAGGGAAUAUUUGGGGUCAAUGGGCGCAGGCCUGAACCAGCCAAGUCGCGUGAGGGAAGACGGUCCUACGGAUUGUAAACCUCUUUUGUCGGGGAGUAACGUGCGGGACGCGUCCCGUAUUGAGAGUACCCGAAGAAAAAGCAUCGGCUAACUCCGUGCCAGCAGCCGCGGUAAUACGGAGGAUGCGAGCGUUAUCCGGAUUUAUUGGGUUUAAAGGGUGCGCAGGCGGCGCGCCAAGUCAGCGGUCAAAGUUCCGGGCUCAACCCGGUGUCGCCGUUGAAACUGGCGUGCUCGAGUGCGUGCGAGGAAGGCGGAAUGCGUUGUGUAGCGGUGAAAUGCGUAGAUAUCGGGAGGAACACCAGUGG